RNAcentral lists this ribosomal RNA (1086 nucleotides) under Triticum aestivum (bread wheat). RNAcentral's name for it is "partial small subunit ribosomal RNA". Lineage: Eukaryota; Viridiplantae; Streptophyta; Magnoliopsida; Poales; Poaceae. The record is from RNAcentral.
AUGGCGCCGCUAAGGCGGGCGGCGAGCGCGGCGGUGGUGCUGCUGGCCCUCACGGGACUUUUUCUUCUCGUGUUCUCUCCCGCGGACGCAGCAACGGCGGCGGUGGAAGGAGGAGAGCUCAGGAGGAAGCAAUCUGAUGGUGGUUACUCUUACAAUAGUACUCUUGCUCAUAUUCUUGUUGAAUAUGCAUCUGCUGUGUAUACAUCCGACCUAACCUCACUUUUGACAUGGACUUGUCCAAGGUGUGAAGGUCACACGAAGGGUUUUGAGAUGAUAGAGAUCAUUGUAGAUGUAGAGAAAUGUCUACAGGCUUUUGUUGGAGUUGCCCCUGAUCCACGAUCCAUAAUAAUUGCUUUUAGAGGCACCCAAGAACACAGUGCCUCAAAUUGGAUUGAAGAUCUCUUCUGGAAGCAGCUAGAUGUAACUUAUCCAGGCAUGCCAGAUGCAAUGGUCCACCAUGGAUUUUAUUCUGCAUAUUAUAAUACAACUCUCCGGCAUGAGAUCCUGAAAUCUGUUCAGUGGGCAUGGAAGACAUAUGGAAGACUACCCAUAAAUGUUGUAGGUCACUCUAUGGGAGGGGCUUUAGCUUCAUUUUGUGCCCUUGAUCUCUCUGUUAAAUGGGGGUCACACAAAGUUCAGCUCAUAACUUUUGGACAGCCUCGGGUAGGCAAUCCUGCUUUUGCUGAAUACUUCAACGAGCAGGUUCCAAGAACAAUCCGCGUGACCCAUGAAAAUGACAUUGUUCCACAUUUGCCACCAUACUUUUAUUACCUAGGCGAAUGGACAUAUCACCACUUUGCAAGAGAGGUUUGGCUUCGUGAGACCAUAGUAGGAAAUGUGGUUACAAGGAAUGAGACAGUCUGUGAUUGUUCAGGCGAGGACCCAACCUGCAGCAGAUCGGUCUACGGGAGAAGUGUGGCAGAUCAUCUCGAGUAUUAUGGUGUUAACCUACAUGCUGAUUCAAGGGGAACCUGUCAAUUUGUGAUUGGCACAUCCAACUCAGCCUAUGGUGACAUUCUUCAAGUUGAUGGAGCUAUCAUCUUAUCAAGAUAUCCACAGGAGCGAUAUCCUGUGGAAUCUAUCUAA